This 245-nucleotide ribosomal RNA is filed under the name uncultured Tangfeifania sp. RNAcentral describes it as "partial 16S ribosomal RNA". It matches the Rfam family "Bacterial small subunit ribosomal RNA", at positions 524 to 768 of the family's 1533-position model. The record is from RNAcentral. Lineage: Bacteria; Pseudomonadati; Bacteroidota; Bacteroidia; Marinilabiliales; Prolixibacteraceae.
UACGGAGGAUGCAAGCGUUAUCCGGAUUUAUUGGGUUUAAAGGGUGCGCAGGCGGCGCGUUAAGUCAGCGGUGAAAUCUCCUAGCUCAACUAGGGAACUGCCGUUGAUACUGGCGUGCUGGAGUACGGACGGCGCCGGCGGAAUGUGCAGUGUAGCGGUGACAUGCUUAGAUAUUGCACAGAACACCGAUCGCGAAGGCAGCUGGCGAGGCCGUUACUGACGCUCAUGCACGAAAGCGUGGGGAG